AACGCACAUUGCGCCCGCCAGUAUUCUGGCGGGCAUGCCUGUUCGAGCGUCAUUUCAACCAUCAAGCUUCAGGCUUGUGUUGGAGCCCUGCGGCUGCCCGCAGCCUCCUAAAACCAGUGGCGGGCUCGCUAUCACACCGAGUGCAGUAGUUUUCUCUUCGCUCUGGACGUAUAGCGGGUUCCGGCCGUGAAACCCCUCAAAUUUUCAAGGUUGACCUCGGAUCAGGUAGGAAUACCCGCUGAACUUAA
Molecule: unclassified non-coding RNA, 248 nt
Filed under: uncultured Lasiosphaeriaceae
Lineage: Eukaryota; Fungi; Ascomycota; Sordariomycetes; Sordariales; Lasiosphaeriaceae
Description: sequence contains ITS2
Rfam family: 5.8S ribosomal RNA (bases 1-52)
Source: RNAcentral